This 269-nucleotide ribosomal RNA is filed under the name uncultured soil bacterium. RNAcentral's name for it is "partial 16S ribosomal RNA". It matches the Rfam family "Bacterial small subunit ribosomal RNA", at positions 26 to 285 of the family's 1533-position model. The record is from RNAcentral.
AGAAUCAACGCUGGCGGCGUGCCUAACACAUGCAAGUCGAACGCGAAAGUCCCGAAAGGGGCAAGUAGAGUGGCAAACGGGUGAGUAACACGUGGGUGACCUGCCUUCGAGCGGGGGAUAACGUCCCGAAAGGGACGCUAAUACCGCAUAACAUCCUGCCUUUGAAGAGGUGGAGGUCAAAGCUGGGGAUCGCAAGACCCGGCACUUGAAGAGGGGCCCGCGUCUGAUUAGCUAGUUGGUGGGUAACGCUACCAAGGCAACGAUCAGUA